UUUUGUAAGAAAAGGUAAAUUGUGUGUGCUGACGAAUUGUUUUAUUUUAAAGUACAACAUGACGUUGCACUACAUUAUCACGUGACAACAACAUAAAUAAGCUGAAAAGUUCGUAAAUUAUACUUAUAGAUAUUGAAAAGUCUUAAAGUUUGAUUUCUAUCUUUCAAAAUAACAGCGAUGGAUUUUUUAUUUGGGAAGCGAAAAACUCCUGAAGAAAUGCUGAAGCAAAAUCAGCGCGCUCUAAACCGGGCUAUGAGAGAUUUGGACAGAGAAAGAGGAAAACUUGAAGCUCAAGAAAAGAAAGUUAUUGCUGAUAUAAAAAAGAUGGCUAAGCAAGGUCAAAUGGAUGCAGUGAAAAUUAUGGCAAAAGAUUUGAUUCGAACAAGGAGAUAUGUAAAAAAGUUCAUGUUGAUGAGAACAAAUAUUCAAGCUGUCUCCCUUAGAAUUCAGACUUUACGUUCGUCAAAUCAAAUGGCUCAAGCAAUGAAAGGUGUUGCUAAGGCAAUGGGUACUAUGAACAAGCAAUUGAAGUUGCCUCAGAUACAGAAAAUCAUGAUGGAUUUUGAAAAACAGUCUGAGAUUAUGGAUAUGAAAGAGGAAAUGAUGAAUGAUGCCCUUGAUGAUGCUCUUGGAGAUGAAGAUGAUGAAGAAGAAAGUGAUGCAAUUGUAACUCAGGUCUUAGAUGAACUUGGACUUCAACUAAAUGAUGAGUUGACUGGCCUGCCACAAGCUGGAGGUUCUAUUGGUUCAACAAGUAAGGCAACGGAUAAAACUCCAGUUGCAGCUGAUGCUGAUGCAGAUUUACAAGCAAGGUUGGAAAACCUACGGAGAGAAUGAGGCAUCUAUGAAUCGCAAAAUCCAAUAAGAGCUUGAAAAAAUGUAACCAAUAACAAUGCCAGAUCUCAUCGAAAUGAGCCAAUAAUAUCAGGUUACCAAAUGAUCUUAACACACAUCAAUCACUUUUUCACUGCCAGAUGCCCCGAAGACUCGAAAAUGAAAGGAAAAGAUGCUAAUUUCUUCUUGACUAUAAAUACUCACAAAGAAUGCAACCGAAAUCGUAUCCUAAUGUUGAAAUUUGAAAAAAGAUAAAAGGAAUAGUUAUGGAAAGAAUAGGAAGAAAACUAAAAAGAAGAUACUCGAAUGAAACAGACAAUCCGACUGAGAGUGUGUUUAGGAAUUUACUUGUGCACAUAUUCAAAUUUUUUGGCGUUAACAAAUUUUGUCUUAAAUAUUUUUUAUUAUCUAAUCAUUGUCUUCAUAUUUUUCUGCCAAUACAUGAGUGCUAUGUUAAAACAAAAAAGAAGCUUUAUACGUUUUUGGCAGGAAUGAUUGGACUACAAGUCAAAACUAUUGUGAGUAAUCCAUCUUUCGUUCAAUAGCAUAUAAAAUAACAAAGAAGUCUAUAUGACUUCCUUCUUUUGAAAUCUACAAAAUAUCAAAAGAAAUUCAUUGGAAAAAAUAUACUCGUGAAACGAAAAUAAAGCUUGUGUGCAUGCUGUAGGUAUAUUUGUCGAUACACUGGGAGCUUAAAGUUUUGAUUUCGCCUAUUAUUUUUUAUUAAAUAAGUAAUUUAAAACAAUCAUUGUGAACGAUCUAUCUGAACUCUACGUUCAAUGGCAUAUAAAGAAGUCUAUACGACUUUCUUUUGAAAUAUAUAAAAAUUCAAAAGAAAUAUUCUUUGGAAGAAUUCUACUCAUGAAAGAAAACCAGUAAAUAAAUUUUGUGUGAAUUUUAAAACAAAUGCUGCUCGGUUUAUAGAGUAAGGAUUGUUAGAUAUAAUAAGUCAAAAAUUAUUGUGGUGCAUGAUCGAUUCAUAUAAAUUAUAUAUACGUCCAGACCAAAUAAAGAAGUCUAUAUGACUUCCACUUGAAAUUUAUAAGGUAUUAAAAGAAAAACUUUAAAAGAAGAAAUCUAUUCAUGAAACAAAUGUAGAUGUCAUAUUUGUCCACAUCCAUAUUUUUUCCAUACAUUAGCAACUUUAAGUCUUCAUUUGCCCACUAUUCUCUUAUUAAUUAAAAAAGUAAGUAAAUAGUAUUGUUGUAAAUAUCAUUAUGAAUGAAAACGUUCAAGAAUUGACUGCAAGACGUA
RNA transcript from Xenia sp. Carnegie-2017, 2088 nucleotides. It is a transcript of the gene named charged multivesicular body protein 2a-like, with no coding region annotated. NCBI's taxonomy places the organism in Eukaryota, Metazoa, Cnidaria, Anthozoa, Malacalcyonacea, Xeniidae. The record is from RefSeq and is a predicted model, not a curated record. The transcript is spliced from 12 exons.